Molecule: ribosomal RNA, 445 nt
Filed under: uncultured archaeon
Lineage: Archaea
Description: bacterial SSU rRNA
Rfam family: Archaeal small subunit ribosomal RNA
Source: RNAcentral
AUUGGACUGCGUCCCCCCAGGCUGUUGGUGAGGUAAUGGCCCACCAAACCUAUAACCGGUACGGGCUCUGAGAGGAGAAGCCCGGAGAUGGGCACUGAGACAAGGGCCCAGGCCCUAUGGGGCGCAGCAGGCGCGAAAACUCUGCAAUGGGCGAAAGCCUGACAGGGUUACUCUGAGUGAUUUCCGCUAAGGAGAUCUUUUGGCAGCUCUAAAAAUGGUGCAGAAUAAGGGGUGGGCAAGUCUGGUGUCAGCCGCCGCGGUAAUACCAGCACCCCGAGUGGUCGGGACGAUUAUUGGGCCUAAAGCAUCCGUAGCCGGUUGUGCAAGUCCUCCGUUCAAUCCAGCCGCUCAACGGAUGGGCUGCGGAGGAUACUACAGAACUAGGAGGCGGGAGAGGCAAGCGGUACUUUUUGGGUAGGGGUACAAUCCUUUGAUCCAUUGAAUA